This is a long non-coding RNA of Cyprinus carpio (common carp), 1309 nucleotides long. RefSeq lists it as uncharacterized. NCBI's taxonomy places the organism in Eukaryota, Metazoa, Chordata, Actinopteri, Cypriniformes, Cyprinidae. The record is from RefSeq and is a predicted model, not a curated record. The transcript has 2 exons.
GCAAGUGCAAGUUAAAGAGGUCUCUUAUGCUCACCAAGGCUGCAUUUAUUUGGUGAAAAAUGUAAAAACACAGUAAUAUGUUGAUAUUUCGUUUAGGACGUAAGAUUUUAUGUCCUAGACCCCUAAUAGAAUAUAAAUACUGUAUUGCUUUCCCAACGCCACUGAAUGGAUGCAUUAACCAACAGGUACCAAUGACAGACAGACAUUCAUUCAUAGUAACAAAAACAGAGAGGCGCAGAACAAAAGAAAACACUGAGUAGAAAUGCAGCAGACCUCUGUGACAGAAGCAGUUUUACAUGACACAAAUAUGCCUUUAUUUUAUGUAUGCACACACACUCUCCUCUGUGCUCUCUUUUAGGUGUUGUGUAUAUCACUGGCAAAGUCAUUCUUUAAAAUCAUCAGCAAGGUUUAACAGUUCGGGAGGCAUUUGAAAAACCUGUUAAAAAAAUAAUAUUAGCAAAGAAAUCACACACAAAAGUUCUGUUAAUGCCUACUGUGUAAAUAUAUUAGAUAGAUUACUGAAAAAAAUAAUAAUAAAAAUAAAUAAAAAUAAAUAAAUCAUCCUAGAGCUGUACCAAAGAUCCUUAGAUGUAACAAAAAUAAAGUUACUCUAUCCAGAGUCUCCAGCAGUGACAUUUUUGGCCUGUAGGUGGUAGUGCAGCACUGCAGUUCGGUUCUGAUGAGGCGUAGCAUUCUGAUUCUUGUAAUGUAAAGCUUUCCAUUGGUCCAAGAUUCACACAUCUUAGUUUCAGUUUCAUGUGAAAUGUGAUGUGUCUGAUGGAAUGUUACAAUGGGAUAACAUCCAAUUUUAUUUUGUUUUCAGCAGCUGAAUGAGUUGAAUCAAAAGCCAUAAUCAGGUUUGUUCAUUCAAGCAUUUCAGAGGCAUGUGAGCUGAGAUUUCCCAUAAUAAAACAAUAACCAGGAUUAGCAACAUCAGGAGCUGAGCAAUUUUUGACAUCAGAGCUGUAGAUGAAUGGGAAUGCUAACAAUUUUUUUUUUUUUUUUUAAUUUACUCACUCUUUUAGAUGGUCUUUAAUUUGUGUUCAGUGUGGUCUCUCUCUCUCUGUUUUUGCUUUCCUCCACCCCACUUCACUGAUGUGUGAAGGAUUUCAUCCACUCUGAAGAUGCAGAUCUACACCUCUAAUGAAGGACACCAGUGGUUUGUUAUCCUGCCCUCUCCUCACCAGUCUAAAGGAUGAACAUCUUUCAACUCAAUUUGAGCUGUGUGGCUCAACAGGCAGAAUGUGAGGUGAUUAUUAAACACCAGUGCAAUCUCCCCAGCCUGGAUAAAGCUGGAUAAAGGGAACAG